GAUGAAGAACGUAGCGAAAUGCGAUAAGUAAUGUGAAUUGCAGAAUUCAGUGAAUCAUCGAAUCUUUGAACGCACAUUGCGCCCGCCAGCACUCUGGCGGGCAUGCCUGUUCGAGCGUCAUUUCAACCAUCAAGCCCCCAGGGGCUUGUGCUGGGGCCCUGCGGCUGCCCGCAGGCCCUGAAAACCAGUGGCGGGCUCGCUAGUCACACCGAGCGCAGUAGCACAUCUCGCUCAGGGCGUGCGGCGGGCUCCUGCCGUGAAACCCCCCACUGUAACCCCAAAGGUUGACCUCGGAUCAGGUAGGAAGACCCGCUGAACUUAAGCAUAUCAAUAAGCGGAGGA
Molecule: unclassified non-coding RNA, 342 nt
Filed under: soil metagenome
Description: partial contains 5.8S ribosomal RNA, internal transcribed spacer 2, and large subunit ribosomal RNA
Rfam family: 5.8S ribosomal RNA (bases 1-120)
Source: RNAcentral